Long non-coding RNA from Anolis carolinensis (green anole), 1204 nucleotides. RefSeq lists it as uncharacterized. The record is from RefSeq and is a predicted model, not a curated record. The transcript is spliced from 4 exons. NCBI's taxonomy places the organism in Eukaryota, Metazoa, Chordata, Lepidosauria, Squamata, Anolidae.
UGGAAGUUAGGCAGGCAAAAAGGUCUACUCGGGAAAAAGACUCUGUUGAGGAGCAACAGCAGAAGAGAAUGCGGCAAACACUUACUGAACCCACUGAGGAAGGAUUUGAUGUGGAUGAUGGGUUUGGCAAUAAAGCAGUUUCUAUGAGAAGUGAUGGGAGUGACACUGAUGGGACUGGGGAUGAGAUAGAUUGGACAAAAGUAGCAGAAGUGAGAGAAGUGUGUGAGGAGCCUACAAGUAGUGACACAUUCAGAGGGUUUGUUGGGGAUGGAACUUGGAGGGAGGAUGAUCUGUCUGCUGUUUGGGAAGAUGUAAGUAGAAGCAGGAGAAGGGCUGCUUGGCAGACAAGGCAAAGAGAAGCUCCGGCAGCAGAACUGGCAGCUGAGCGUGCGGUGUUGUCUGAUUCUCGUUUGGAGGAGAAUGCAGGAGCAGCUGAGGGUGGGGCGUUGUCUGAUUGCUGCUCAGAGGAAGGUUUGUAAUAUAAGGUGGGUUGGUUGCAAUGGGGACUUUGCGACUAGCAAAGUGUAUGCUGAGUUGUCUGCUACACUGGGUCGUGACUUUGUGAAAUUGAGGUUACCAGUACUUAGCUACCAUGAAGAUAUAUUAUACGUCUGUCUUGAUUAUCUGCAUAGCUCUCCUCACUGGUACAGAGUGCACCAAAGGGAAAAAAAUCAAUGAUUCUUUUGAGUGUUUAGAUGCAGGAGGUAGAUGUGAAAAAAAGGAGUGCUUCUUAUCAAAAAAGAUUGGCAAUUGUUCCAAGAAAGAGAUAUGUUGCAAAGGGAAUUCAUGGGACUGAAGUUACAAGGACUUGAAAUCUACAUCUAAAAGAAGCUGCAGGAACUAAUGACUGAGACCAAUGACUGAGAUCCAACCCUUUUUUCAUUAAUCAAUUGCAUAGCUAUCCACAUCAUUGAAAUUGCUUCUGUCUCCUUGCCUUCUAUAGAUGUGGAGAAGGAAGAUUCAAGCUAAUUCUUAUGAUUCCCUAAUACUUUCCUUCUUACUGCUUGGAUGUGGUUCUGCACAAAGUUGUUCGCAUAUUUUAACAAAUAAAGUGCAACGGGUCUAUCUAUGAACACAGAACUUAGGCCAAAGUUUUAUAUGCAUGACAUUCAACAUACUGGUUCUUCCCGCUUAAAAUCAUACAAAUGAUUAUAUGUUUUAUGCUCUAGACCCUCAUCACAAAAAUAAAGUGAUUGGAAAUGCA